UCACACUGUAAACUUAGGAGAAAACCAAUGAAAUUUGGAUUUUCCUUUGUGAUGUCUAAGCAGAAUUUUUAAAGUGUUUUGUGCACUCCAAUGGUCAGCGUUAGAAAAUAGAUGCUCCUGCUACUGACUGACCUACAUGCCUCCUUCUGCAAUAUGUCUGAAAUGCAUCGCAUUCUUUACUGGUGCGUGGCACUUCUUAAUCUCCAUAGACACACGCAAACUUCACUUUACAGGCCAAAGCAGGAUCUGAUUCCUUGGGCUAUACCCCUAACCAUUAUUGUUUAAUUCAUCAACUUACUCUGCUGCUGUUAUGUGCCUGCGAUGCCAAUCUUUACAUAAGAAAAAGGAAAAAAA
This 354-nucleotide long non-coding RNA is filed under the name Rattus norvegicus (Norway rat). RNAcentral's name for it is "long non-coding RNA NONRATT027406". Lineage: Eukaryota; Metazoa; Chordata; Mammalia; Rodentia; Muridae. The record is from RNAcentral.